CUACGGGACGCUGCAGUGAGGAAUAUUGCACAAUGGGGGGAACCCUGAUGCAGCAACGCCGCGUGGAGGAUGACGCAUUUCGGUGUGUAAACUCCUUUUAUAUGUCAAGAAAAUGACGGUAGCAUAUGAAUAAGCACCGGCUAACUCCGUGCCAGCAGCCGCGGUAAUACGGAGGGUGCAAGCGUUACUCGGAAUCACUGGGCGUAAAGGACGCGUAGGCGGGUUGGAAAGUCAGGUGUGAAAUCCUACAGCUUAACUAUAGAACUGCACUUGAAACUUCUAAUCUAGAGUAUGGGAGGGGAAGAUGGAAUUAGUGGUGUAGGGGUAAAAUCCGUAGAUAUCACUAGGAAUACCUAAAGCGAAGGCGAUCUCCUGGAACAUUACUGACGCUAAGGCGUGAAAGCGUGGGGAGCAAACAGGAUUAGAUACCCGAGUAGUC
This 439-nucleotide ribosomal RNA is filed under the name uncultured bacterium. Its description in RNAcentral is "partial 16S ribosomal RNA". It matches the Rfam family "Bacterial small subunit ribosomal RNA", at positions 339 to 795 of the family's 1533-position model. The record is from RNAcentral.